Molecule: ribosomal RNA, 500 nt
Filed under: uncultured bacterium
Lineage: Bacteria
Description: partial 16S ribosomal RNA
Rfam family: Bacterial small subunit ribosomal RNA
Source: RNAcentral
AUUGAACGCUGGCGGCAUGCCUUACACAUGCAAGUCGAACGGCAGCACGGGCUUCGGUCUGGUGGCGAGUGGCGAACGGGUGAGUAGCGUAUCGGAACGUGCCCUAGAGUGGGGGAUAACUAGUCGAAAGACUAGCUAAUACCGCAUACGAUCUACGGAUGAAAGUGGGGGAUCGCAAGACCUCAUGCUCCUGGAGCGGCCGAUAUCUGAUUAGCUAGUUGGUGGGGUAAAAGCCUACCAAGGCGACGAUCAGUAGCUGGUCUGAGAGGACGACCAGCCACACUGGGACUGAGACACGGCCCAGACUCCUACGGGAGGCAGCAGUGGGGAAUUUUGGACAAUGGGGGCAACCCUGAUCCAGCAAUGCCGCGUGAGGGAAGAAGGCCUUCGGGUUGUAAAGCUCUUUCGUCAGGGAAGAAACGGUAGUAGCUAAUAUCAAUUACUAAUGACGGUACCUGAAGAAUAAGCACCGGCUAACUACGUGCCAGCAGCCGCCGUAA